This 253-nucleotide ribosomal RNA is filed under the name uncultured bacterium. Its description in RNAcentral is "partial 16S ribosomal RNA". It matches the Rfam family "Bacterial small subunit ribosomal RNA", at positions 524 to 776 of the family's 1533-position model. The record is from RNAcentral.
UACGUAGGGUGCAAGCGUUGUCCGGAAUUAUUGGGCGUAAAGAGCUCGUAGGCGGCUCGUUGCGUCGGCUGUGAAAACCCGCAGCUCAACUGUGGGCUUGCAGCCGAUACGGGCGGGCUGGAGUUCGGUAGGGGAGACUGGAAUUCCUGGUGUAGCGGUGAAAUGCGCAGAUAUCAGGAGGAACACCGGUGGCGAAGGCGGGUCUCUGGGCCGAUACUGACGCUGAGGAGCGAAAGCGUGGGGAGCAAACAGG